GGCGCGUUUUCAAAAACAACAAUUGAUUUCAAAAUAACACGACAACAAGCAAAGCUUUCGCAAUGAAAGUAUUUUCCAAAAUUAAUCACUUUUCCUAAAAAUGACUUAAUCAAAUCGGUUUCCUAGAAAUAUCCAUGACGUUAAGGUGUGGCAAUGGUGGUAUGCAUGUCUAGGAUUGGAUCCGAAGGGAGCUUGGUACUUAAGCAGUCUGAUGGACUCACCACCUCUUUUCCGGUUUCCUACCUGGUGCACAGCUUCCAUUCACUUUAACCCUUAAUGAAUUAAUCUUUUGAACAUCAAGUACGAUUUUCUGGACUUAGAAUGGAAAUUUUUUUUUAACAUUUUUGAUGUGGCAUGUCGGAUCCGGCCAUAACUUCUGGGUCGGGUUUGGGGUGCUACACUCGCCAUUCUUGAAGCUCUUUGUUGAUAGUUUUGCUCUGAACUGUGUAAUAACACCGAAAGCAUUAAGUCAAACACUACAAUCUGUUGUUAAAUUUUGAAAAAUAUAAAGGAGAAGUAAAAGUGUUUAUGAGCAAAACUAUCAACAAAGUGCUUUCGGUGUAUGCAACUUAUCUGUUGUUAUAUUUUUUUACUCAAUUCAGGAGCAAAAAUGUAAAAAGUGUUUAUGAGCAGAAGAAUGCUUACAUUUAAGGCAAUGAUGAAUUGAUACAGACACUGUGCUUUUGAAUUUAUCUGUCAAAUGGAAAGCAGGAAACAUUAAACAGAGGAUACAAACACUGCUUAAGGUGAUAUAUAUAUAUGAUACAGAAGAUUCAUAAUCAUGAGCAACAGAACUGCAUCACCAACAUACAAGCACCACUUUUGGUUUCAUGUACCAGAUAAUUUUAUGCCACAGAAGUGCAGAUGACAGUCGAUUGAUGAGACAAACUGUUUGCAGGCAAUCGCAUGAAAUAUAAUAAAAUUAGCAUCCAAGAGGUAACAAUUCUAGGUUCACAAUACCAUAGAACAAAGAUGCAAUCGUUACACAAUCAAAGAUAGGUCAAUAAGAAACUAAAAAUAAGCUUAAAAUGUUGUAUGAAGGCUUUAGAUUGACAUCACAUAGAAUGACAAAAAGAUUAAAGCAUAUUAGAAUAAAGCAAGCAGCAAAUAGCGUCCAGAGUAAUACAAUAACAGUACAAGUGCUUGGAUUGCAUAUUACAUAUUUUAAAAAAAAGAAACUUUAAAUAAAAUGAAAAGUCAUAGACAGACAUAGAAAUGAUUUACCGAAGUACUGAACAAUCAAACCGAGAACUUAUUUAAAUAAUUAAUAACAACUAUGGCGCUUGAUCAAAGGGCUUCCUUAAUGUUAACAGCAGGAUUCGCAGGAAUGUUAACAUACCCUAUUUUUUUAGGGCUAAAUUCUUCGUCAGACUCAUCAUCCUCAUGGUACUCGCAACGGGCCGUGAAGAUAAUCCAGACCAAGUAAAUGGCGGCGGCAGUGAGAGAGCCGCGAAGAGAUAUAUUAUGUAACGAAACUGAUAGCAGAAAGAGAAAUUUCAGGUGACUUUUUCUUUUUCAAUAUACUUGACAGUAGAUGUCGACAGAGAUACAGCAGCGGGCUACCGACGGAGAUGCAGAGGGCUGCCGAUUUGGGGAAAUUAGGGGAAAAGAUAAAGGGAAUCGGGGUAGGGGAGAAAUGGUUUGGGAAAAAUAAAAUGAGAAAGAAAAGAGAAGAAAUUUGAGUGAAAUUUUAGGAUUUCUUUGGGGAGGGGGGAGGGAACCGAUUUUGGGGAAAGAAAGGAGGGAAGAAAGAAAGAUUUCUUGUCAAAUUUUUGGAUUUCGG
RNAcentral lists this long non-coding RNA (1783 nucleotides) under Gossypium barbadense (sea-island cotton). Its description in RNAcentral is "long non-coding RNA (GBAR_LNC011618)". The record is from RNAcentral. Lineage: Eukaryota; Viridiplantae; Streptophyta; Magnoliopsida; Malvales; Malvaceae.